RNAcentral lists this non-coding RNA (90 nucleotides) under Pseudomonas sp. Z003-0.4C(8344-21). The record is from RNAcentral. Lineage: Bacteria; Pseudomonadati; Pseudomonadota; Gammaproteobacteria; Pseudomonadales; Pseudomonadaceae.
UUUCGCGGCGGCUGUGCGCGGGAACGCUUCGGCGUAGCUGAGUUUGGUGGGUUUCUCAGUUUCCUACUCUCGCGUACGGCUGCCACCCAA